UGCCUGGCUAAUUUUUUGUAUUCUUAGUAGGGGCGGGAUUUCACUAUGUUGGCCAGGCUGGUCUCGAACUCCUGACCUCAGAUGAUCUGCCUGCCUUGGCCUCCCAAGGUGCUGGGAUUACAGGUGUGAGCCACCAUGCCCGGCCAAUUCAGGUGACUUCUGAAUUCUCAUUCUGAUUCUGUUCCUUUCUGCUUGAGACACUCAGCUCUGUGGUCUCUCACAGCUGUGCUGAGCCCCAGCAUGGAUGUACCAGGACUUAUCUGCCAACCCUGCUAGGCUGGGCGUGUCCAGCAUUGGCUAGAACUGCUGCUGCCGCCAUCCCACACUGUUCACAAGACCCUUCAGACUCAAAUCCUAGAGCUGCUAUUCAGUGCCCAAAACGCUAUCAAAGUGCAGGCCUGGCUCCACACUGCCAGCUGCAGAUGCUCGGCAGACUCUGCCUGGGGCUCCCGGCUGUGCUGCCCAGGCUCACCAGAACCCACCGCAGCUGCCCUGCAGCCCACCUUUUGCCUGUUGUCUCACAGCCUUAUACAGCAGCAAGGAAAGUGAGGGAGCAAUGCCAGAAGGACUUGCCAGAGGUGACCCAGCUCGUGAGGUGGUAACGCAAUGGGGAACAGAACUCCAGAGCAGGCCCAGCACUGGCAGGGCGGCUCCUCCUGUGGGCCUCAGUUCCCAUACACGAGCACGCGUCACCCUCACCAGCAGGUCGGAUGGUGAUGGACGGGGACCUGAAAGGAAAGGGGGGUGACUGCCAUUCUCACCCAGCGAUUCAGCGCGUCACACGAGUGCCUCUCCCGGCCGACUCCUGAAGGUGUCAUGUUGGGCACUGGGACGGCUUUAAACACCGGAUCUGACACCAAAACACAGAAAGGGAGUCACUCCCAGAAACACGGCUGACCAAAAAAAACACCCUCCAAACCCCACAUCAUUCCCAUCCCAAUAUUAGCCCCAGGGCACUGACUCGUAUUACUGAAUUCUCAUGUAUUAUCUGACAGAAGGGCUACAUUUCUUUUUCCUCGUGAUCUAUGUAACACUUGAAUACAUUCACAUAAGACAGAAUUAUUAAUUUCAUUUUUGAAAAGGUUUGCUUUCAAGGGAUUUCAAGGGGAAACAGCAAUUGUUUUAAGUUACUAACUAGUUUACCAAGCACCGUGCGAGGUCUGUGAGUGCCACGAUCAUCUAACUAGGCCUCACAGUGGGUGCCAACCCGUGCCAGGCACAGAGCCCGACACUUGGGACAGAAGGCAGGUAAGGUUUCUGUCAUCUUGGAGCUUACAUUUUAGUUGAGGAAACAGACCAUAAAGAAAGAAAAUCACUCCAUGUGGUUGUUAGUGUCACAAGUGAAGCUGGGGGCUCUGAUAGAAAAUGAUGGAGUCCCCUCAGGCACGAUAGGCAGGGAAGGCUGAGGAUGUGGAUACUUAGUGGAGACCGAAAUGGUGAGGAGGAGCUGGCACCAGAAGAGAGAAAUGUGUGUAAGACAGAGGGAACGCCGAGUGUUAAGCCCUUGCGGUAGGAAAGGGCAGAGUGUUCUGGAGCGCGGAGAAGACUGGUCUGACUGAGGCACAACGAACAAGAGGGAGAGUGGAAGGGGGGAAGGCAGAAGCGAAUUCGGG
Molecule: long non-coding RNA, 1613 nt
Filed under: Homo sapiens (human)
Lineage: Eukaryota; Metazoa; Chordata; Mammalia; Primates; Hominidae
Description: LHRI_LNC87.1
Source: RNAcentral